CCUCCAGCUCUCCCCUCCAAGAGCAUCUUUCUUCUGGGAUGGGCAGUGAGCCCCUCUCAGGUUAGAGUGUGGUCCAUGGCUGACUUGCAGGCACUAUCAUGGAAUAGAUGUGAGGAGGAAAUGGGCUGGAGUAGGAAGAAGGUCCAGGCCUACAGGACCCCAAGCCUCAAGUGAAGCCCUGCAAGGUCCUUUCCACUCAUCCAAGGCAGAAUUCCAGCACCACAGGCUCUCCCAACCCCACCAAACCACCCAGGGAGAAGAGAAAAUCUGUUCCACAUUAAAGAUAUCUAACAAUUAUUUUUAAGCACAACCACAAAGGCUUUGCAUGAGCAGCCCUUCUCAUAUUUACCUCCCAUGCAGUCCCAAGGUCCCCCAAAAUGAACCAGAGAAUCUUUGCACAUCAGAACAGUCUGGUUGUAACAGCUGCCCUGUGUAUAAGCACUGGACAAGGUUUCCCCCAAAAACCCACUACAGAAACUUUGCAAACCCAUCUUUUAGGUUUUAGCUCUCACUCUGCAAAAUCCAGGUCUAUAUGGGCAACACACAGCACAUUGGGAUGGCAUCCAAGGAUCCAGUGGGCAUUGCCAGGCCCAGCUCACCUCCAGCACAUGAAGUCAGCACAGCCAGCCUGACUGACCAGCUCCAGCAUCUCCCAGGUGAAGGACUCAACAGUGUAGAAAGGUAAAUGCAGCUGAAGAACACAGCCAAGUCUGGCAGAACCCCCCCAUUCUGUGACCAUUUUGACAAUUUCAAGUUGUCUUGUAAAGUGCUGAGAGGUGCCUUUCUGCUCCUGCAAGAAGCCUGUGCUCCUCUGCAAACUGCUGCCAAGCUGCUGCAGGACCAGACUAGUUUAUCCCUGCAGUUCCCCUGGAGACAGAGCCAUCAUCCAGUGACAGUCCCACUUUGGGAGAGCUGCCUGGUUCUGCCAGCCUCUACCCAUUUACCCAGAGAGGAAAGCUGGGCCCUGUGACGUGAAGACUCUGCAGCAAGACACAAAUAAAACACCAGAAGACAUUAAAUACUCCUGUCUU
RNAcentral lists this long non-coding RNA (1031 nucleotides) under Serinus canaria (Common canary). Its description in RNAcentral is "lncRNA (ENSSCAG00000014235.1)". The record is from RNAcentral. Lineage: Eukaryota; Metazoa; Chordata; Aves; Passeriformes; Fringillidae.